Molecule: unclassified non-coding RNA, 398 nt
Filed under: fungal sp.
Lineage: Eukaryota; Fungi
Description: partial internal transcribed spacer region
Rfam family: Eukaryotic small subunit ribosomal RNA (bases 1-46)
Source: RNAcentral
AAGUCGUAACAAGGUUUCCGUAGGUGAACCUGCGGAAGGAUCAUUAACACGUAUCCACGUAUCAACCCCUCUGUGCAAACGUAACAACGUAAAGGUCAGCCUAGUCCGCUGCUGCUUCGUAGUUGGUCUCAACGAUGGCGGGCUCGUUCUGUCCCUUCCCACUCUUCCGCUUGCGGAGGAGCAGGAGUGGUGCGCGGGAUAGGCCCGGAGAUCCAGAGCAGGCGGGCGUUUUAACGGUUGGCUGCCAUUUUUCCAUUGUUAGCCCUGUUUACCACUUUUUUAACCCCUUUGUACUCUUUUUGUACUGAACCAAAACAUUUCUUUCGGAGCUCGCAAGAGCGACGGAGAGAUAUUACGAAACUAAAGAACAACUCUUAGCAACGGAUAUCUUGGUUCCC